GCCGGAGUAGCUCAGUCGGAAGAGCGACGCAUUCGUAAUGCGUAGGUCCGGGGUUCGAUUCCCCGCUCCGGCUCCA
This 76-nucleotide transfer RNA is filed under the name Actinomycetota bacterium. Its description in RNAcentral is "Actinobacteria bacterium tRNA-Thr". It matches the Rfam family "tRNA". From Rfam's summary of the family: Transfer RNA (tRNA) molecules are approximately 80 nucleotides in length. Their secondary structure includes four short double-helical elements and three loops (D, anti-codon, and T loops). Lineage: Bacteria; Bacillati; Actinomycetota. The record is from RNAcentral. RNAcentral also lists the same sequence under 1 other name.